RNAcentral lists this long non-coding RNA (1605 nucleotides) under Phoenix dactylifera (date palm). RNAcentral describes it as "long non-coding RNA (PDAC_LNC009677)". The record is from RNAcentral. Lineage: Eukaryota; Viridiplantae; Streptophyta; Magnoliopsida; Arecales; Arecaceae.
AUCGAUUUAAAUCCAAACUGUGCGAACCCGAACUUAACAAUUAGAAUUCUUUCUAAUUGGUGAUCGAAUUAAACUCUUUAAUUCGAUCAAACCUAUAAGACAAGAUUGACAUCUAGCAACGUGUCAUGUCGACCCGAAAAAUAUGGAAUUUGGUAGAAAUACCAAAAAUACCCUUCAGUGGCAAGUUACCGUGCAAUUCAAUCCUUUAAACAAACUGCAUCCCGAAUAUGUAUAUGAGUAUGAAUAUUUGUCAAACUCAAUUUCAUAUUCAUAUAUUUAUCAAUCUUCUAAUGAUAAUUCGAAUAAUGAAACAUUAGAAACUCUUUCUAAUUUUCGUUGUGCUUUGAUCAAAGGAUGCCUGAAUUAUCAUAUGAUUAGAAUAAAUAGGAUGCGAUCUUCUCUUACUAGAAGUGAUUAAUUUCUUGUUGACCUACUCAUAACCUUCGUACACAUUCCACAAUAUCUAGAAGACCUCGUACAUAACUUAUUGUCAUGAAUGAGUGGAAACCAAAAUAUGAAUUUAUGUGCACAAGAUACUAUGGUGAUCUCAGGUCAAAGGAUUAGUUGCACAACUCCCACUAAGAGAAUCAUCUUUUGACAUGUAAGUAAGACUUCAUAAGAUUUCUCGUUGUAGGUCAAUUCAGUGAACUCAUUUCUCUAAUGAGCACCCACAUCUUUGCAUUAGUGUCUCCACACAAGUGAUUGUGAGAUCAAUCAUCCUCUGCAUCGACCAUACAUAAGAUGUGCCAGUCUUUCUGGUAAACAUUGAUCCCCGACUCAAUGUACCAAUGACUGGAAAUAUUUAAGAUUAGGAUUUUAGGAUUUUAGAUCUCACUAGUAUGAUCUCAUCAUAGCCUCAAAAUCAUUGCCUUAAUCUAAGGGGUUCAUCACAAAUAUAAUCAACAGCAUAUGAUGAAACACAAUGCCAUUAUUUAUAUUGAAUGUCAUGUACAUGAUUUGGAAAAUCAAAAGAAAAUCCUUCAUAAUACAUAUUGCGAUUGGCUUGUAAGGCAUCUACUCUUUCAGCGUUCGCAAAGGUCCCACUUAAAAACCACUUGCCUCGAACAGAUUAACGUCUCCCUUAUAGGGACAAAGCUUGCCUAGACAUCAACUAAGUCACAGAGCGAAAUUGGUGCAACUUUCGGUGAUCUUCGUCCUAUUGAGCUCGAAUGUCCCUAGGAGCAAACGUCUAAUUGAUUUUAAUUAAGCUGACACUAUGUAAGAUUGAGUUCACCUAAGUUGGGCAAGAGGCCGGUGAUAAAAUCCGGCUCUUAUCUUGUUAGGAUGAUUGCCCUUACUAUGUGCGGAUUAAUUUGUGUAUGUGUAUCAAGCAUGCAUUCACACUUUUGCUAAAAUUAAAAUCAAACAAUCACCACAAAAUUUUAAGCUAAUUGGGAAUCAAUUUAAAUAAGAAAGGUUUAGAGGUUACCAAAGAGAAUUUUUUCAGCAAAUUUCUUUUUUUUAAGCAAAUCUCUGCAGCAUUUCUUUUUUGCAGUCCCCUCUUUGACCGUCCCAGAUUUCCUCUUCGAUUCCUGAUCAAAUAAUAUCAAAAGAAAAUUAAAAAUUAGUAAGAGAGAAAAAGAAGAUAAGAAAAGUAACAACAAU